Molecule: ribosomal RNA, 850 nt
Filed under: uncultured bacterium
Lineage: Bacteria
Description: bacterial SSU rRNA
Rfam family: Bacterial small subunit ribosomal RNA
Source: RNAcentral
UUAUCUGCAGUCGAGGGGCAGCAGGACUGUAGCAAUACAGUUGCUGGCGACCGGCAAACGGGUGCGGAACACGUACGCAACCUUCCUUCAAAUGGGGGAUAGCCCACCGAAAGGUGGAUUAAUACCCCGUAACAUUUUCUGGUGGCAUCACCGGAUUAUUAUAGCUCCGGCGUUUGAAGAUGGGCGUGCGCCUGAUUAGGUAGUUGGCGGAGUAACAGCCCUCCAAGCCUACGAUCAGUAACUGGUGUGAGAGCACGACCAGUCACACGGGCACUGAGACACGGGCCCGACUCCUACGGGAGGCAGCAGUAAGGAAUAUUGGUCAAUGGACGCAAGUCUGAACCAGCCAUGCCGCGUGGAGGAUGAAGGUCCUCUGGAUUGUAAACUUCUUUUAUCGGAGAAGAAACCCUCAAAUUCUUUUGAGGUUGACGGUACCCGAUGAAUAAGCACCGGCUAACUCCGUGCCAGCAGCCGCGGUAAUACGGAGGAUGCAAGCGUUAUCCGGAUUCACUGGGUUUAAAGGGAGCGUAGGUGGGAUGGUAAGUCAGUGGUGAAAUCUCCGGGCUUAACUCGGAAACUGCCGUUGAUACUAUCAUUCUUGAAUAUUGUGGAGGUAAGCGGAAUAUGUCAUGUAGCGGUGAAAUGCUUAGAUAUGACAUAGAACACCGAUAGCGAAGGCAGCUUGCUACACAAUUAUUGACACUGAGGCUCGAAAGCGUGGGGAUCAAACAGGAUUAGAUACCCUGGUAGUCCACGCCCUAAACGAUGGAUACUCGACAUACGCGAUACACAGUGUGUGUCUGAGCGAAAGCAUUAAGUAUCCCACCUGGGAAGUACGACCGCAAGGUUG